This is a long non-coding RNA of Dunckerocampus dactyliophorus (ringed pipefish), 935 nucleotides long. RefSeq lists it as uncharacterized. The transcript is spliced from 5 exons. NCBI's taxonomy places the organism in Eukaryota, Metazoa, Chordata, Actinopteri, Syngnathiformes, Syngnathidae. The record is from RefSeq and is a predicted model, not a curated record.
GUGCUUCUUGAAGUCGUUUUAGGCUUUGGAGAAAGUAAAAACUACUUCCUGUCAGUGAGUUUGUGAUGCGAGUGCUACAUUUAGCUUUUUUAACCGCUCCUGUGUGCGUCCCUCUCUGCACAUAAAUCAUUCAUAAGUAUGCCGAAUGGGAGCGGUGAAUACGGAGCAGCAGGUCCAAGCAACCUCGGUCUGACUCAUCACGUCAUUUUUCAGCACUUUGCACGCCGGUGGCCGCCGAGGUCGUCUAUUAAUGACCCACCUGAGCGGGUGAUCUCGUAGAAGCCAUUUGGUUGAAGAGAUGUCAAGCUGGAUUUAAGUCGGCUGACGCCACAACCUUGUGAGAGGAGCCGAGAAUAAACUGUAGUUUGAGUGAUAGGAGGCAAAGUUAUUUAAGAUUUAUUCAAAUGUGGCUAGUUGGUUAGCUAGCCUAACAACAUGGCCGCCGAGUGACAAGGCAUCACCAUGCUAACGUGCUGUUUGGAGGGCCAUCUUAUUUUAAAGCUCCUUGAGGAAUGUUGCUCAUUCCGAAAAGAACGCUUGACGAUCCCUGGUACUAAAUAAAGUCGAGGGUAGUGGCACAAAAUAGACAAGAAAGCGAUGUCGUCUUCCAUAAAAUCACGAAGUACAGGAGCAGAUGAUGCGGACAGAAGAUGCUGCUGGAAGAGGAAUCAUUGCUGGUGCUGAUGCAGAUACUUGAGAGGCUCAUUCAAGAUUUACAGCAAGAUGUAGGAGUGGAUGUGGCCAGCUAGCAUACUUUGCAACAACCAUUUGACGCUGACAGGUGUUCCAUGAAAGCAGUGAGAGUUUCUUUAUGUCUUGUCUUUAAAGUCGUCUGUGAUCGUCCAUCAUGACAUCACCGUGAAGAACAGACAUCAACGUUGGAUUGACGCUUGACAACCCCGAACCCCCCACGUACGCUUCAGCCAAUCACCCUU